This 85-nucleotide transfer RNA is filed under the name Rhodovulum marinum. RNAcentral's name for it is "tRNA-OTHER". It matches the Rfam family "tRNA". Rfam says of the family: Transfer RNA (tRNA) molecules are approximately 80 nucleotides in length. Their secondary structure includes four short double-helical elements and three loops (D, anti-codon, and T loops). Lineage: Bacteria; Pseudomonadati; Pseudomonadota; Alphaproteobacteria; Rhodobacterales; Paracoccaceae. The record is from RNAcentral.
GGUCCCGUGGCGGAAUUGGCAGACGCAGCGGUCUUUAAAACCGCGACCUUCCCAGGGUGUGCGGGUUCGAACCCCGCCGGGACCA